RNAcentral lists this unclassified non-coding RNA (253 nucleotides) under uncultured Parcubacteria group bacterium. Its description in RNAcentral is "contains 16S-23S intergenic spacer region". It matches the Rfam family "Bacterial small subunit ribosomal RNA", at positions 524 to 776 of the family's 1533-position model. The record is from RNAcentral.
UACGAGUGCCCCAAGCGUUAUCCGGAAUUACUGGGCGUAAAGGGUCCGCAGGCGGCUCUGUUAGUCCAAUGUUAAAUCACGAGGCUUAACCUCGUGGCUGCGUUGGAAACGGCAGAGCUAGAGGGUAUGAGAGGUGAGUGGAACCGACAGUGUAGGGGUGAAAUCCGUUGAUAUUGUCGGGAACACCAAAAGCGAAGGCAACUCACUGGCACACUCCUGACGCUCAUGGACGAAAGCUAAGGUAGCGAACGGG